GAAUUUUUGAUUAACGCCUGCCUUAUGGGCAGGCCACUUGGAAG
Serratia fonticola is the source of this 44-nucleotide regulatory RNA element. It matches the Rfam family "nuoG RNA". The record is from Rfam. NCBI's taxonomy places the organism in Bacteria, Pseudomonadati, Pseudomonadota, Gammaproteobacteria, Enterobacterales, Yersiniaceae.